This 226-nucleotide long non-coding RNA is filed under the name Carica papaya (papaya). RNAcentral describes it as "long non-coding RNA (CPAP_LNC002954)". Lineage: Eukaryota; Viridiplantae; Streptophyta; Magnoliopsida; Brassicales; Caricaceae. The record is from RNAcentral.
AAUAUGGCUCCGGCGCGGCGGCGGUCGGCUCUCUUUCCCAGCGAUUGGUUCUUCUUCUCCGGCGGGGGCUGGUGGCUAGGGUUAGGGUUCAGUGUGAAGUGAGGUAUUUAUAUAUCCCUUUAAUCUGGAUUGUCUAUCGCGUUUGAUUUCGACUGUCCGAUCGCGUUUAAAUAAGAAAUGAAUAUGGACCGUUCAUCUCAAUUUGAUCUAAACCAUACGAUCGAGU